CUCACAGAAGGACGGAUGCAAAGGCAAGAUGAGCCCUUCCUUACAGCUGGCAGGAGUGCGAUGUGAAAGCACAGGGAGAAUGGCCUAAGGUAGGCUCCGAGAGGCGAGCAGAAGACAGGGCUGCAAACACGGACUGAAUACCUUGCAUGUGCUCAGUGCUCUGUGUGUCCUCACAAAGCAUGAGUCAUAAUCUGUGCUGUGAAAACUCACUUUAAUUGCAGCAGACAGGGCAUGUCAUAGGGAAAAAGAAAAUAAAACCAGGUAACUAACAAAGGGUGCAGGGACAGACAUCAAGAGGACAGUGGUUUCAAGGAAGGCACACUCAGUCCCUGUGGACUGUGCGGGGACAUCAAGAGGAGGUAGCCCUUAAUUUUAGUGCUAAAGGAGUUCACAAAAUCCCAAGACUUCAUAUCCUCCUCUCUGAUGGGAUGUGCAUGUCUGCAUCUCUAUGAUGUAAGAGCUUCCAUUCACUCUUCUUUGUGAAUGCAGUCUACAAGCUGACCUAGAAGGAAGAGCCCUCUGCAGCCCUCACCUGGAACGGAGCCAGGGCUCCGUUUCCCUGGAACAUAAUCCCAGCUGACUGUCUUUGCUGGAUGAGCACAGCAAAAGGCUCUACCUGGUCCUAGUUUCUGCAGCUCUUCUCUAUCCCAGGUGGAAGCAUCUGUCCUCCGUGUAGACUGAGCCCUGCUCUCAGGUGCUGAGACCAGGUCCAUCUGAAAAUUAAAAACUGAAGUCCGGAACCACAUAAAACCCUCAGAAGCAAAGUGGAAUGUGUAACCAGGAUCCUGGCCCCAAAUUGGCCCAGCCCAGGAAAGACCAGGGGAACACGCAUUCUACCCCACCUUCUGCCAUGCUCAAGGGCAUAAAAUCUCUUCAUGUUCUCCAAGGCCAAGAGUAAAUGCCAUCUUCUAAGACUA
Molecule: long non-coding RNA, 917 nt
Organism: Felis catus (domestic cat)
Lineage: Eukaryota; Metazoa; Chordata; Mammalia; Carnivora; Felidae
Exons: 3
Source: RefSeq, a predicted model, not a curated record